GGGUGGUCGGGCACACUACAUUUUUGCUCAAGACCAGCCUAAAUUCGGCAGCUGAAGUGUACGUGAUUGGUCAACAGCUGUAGGGAUUCUUCAAUAAAUGAAGAGGGCCAGUGUGAUAAGAGCAAUAGGACAGCCCAUUCGACUCCACAGACUGUGUCCUGUAGAGGAAUCCUCUGAGCAUUGUAGGGGCCAGCUGAGGGUGAUUGGGGAUGAGGUGAACAGCAUGUUCUCCAAGGGAAAGGUGGGGUCCACACAGUGGCAGACCUGGAGGGGAGGAAUCAUCACGUGCCUGUUCACUGUCCUCAGUGGCCUUGGAUCUCUCUACCUGCUCCAGUACAGAAACCUCAGGACGCCCUAGAGACCCACUGACCCACGGCGUCACACCGCACUUGACAUUUGACCUUUCUUAAUACAUUUCUAUCCAUUCCUACAGAAUGUUAUAAGGCAUUUAUGAUUUUAUUUAUUUGAUUGUUUAUUGAUUUAGUUGACAUUGCACAAUAUGUCAUAUAGAGUAGAAUAUUUGCACUUUCUGUUCCUUUACUUGACAAUGUAGGCUGACUAUUUUGAGGGGCUAGUUGACAGUGCUUACUGUGGAAAUGGCUUCAACUAGUGGGUUUUGAUGGUGUCUGAAGUUACUUAUUUAAUAGCGCCAAAAUCAUAGAGUGCUGUAGAGAAAUGUGGGCUGUAUCUUCACUCAGGAUUUUGGUAGCUUUAGACACCAUCAAAAUCCACGGGAUUAUACAAUUGUUUAACUCUUUAAUGAUUAAAUAAUUUACUUCAAUCAUACUGUGAUUUCAGUGGAAUAUACAGUCACAUCCAAAAUGAUUUGCACCCUUGAUAUAGAUGAGCAAAAAAGACGGUAUAAAUAAUACAAAAACUGAGCUAUAUUGUGUGCAAAAAGAAAAUAAAAAAUUAUAUUUGU
Salvelinus namaycush (lake trout) is the source of this 922-nucleotide long non-coding RNA. RefSeq lists it as uncharacterized. The record is from RefSeq and is a predicted model, not a curated record. The transcript is spliced from 3 exons. NCBI's taxonomy places the organism in Eukaryota, Metazoa, Chordata, Actinopteri, Salmoniformes, Salmonidae.